UAUAAAAUGCCUGAUAAAAGGAUUAUUCUGAUAGAAUAAAUUAUAUAGUUAAACUAUUUUUAUAA
RNAcentral lists this transfer RNA (65 nucleotides) under Cheumatopsyche charites. Its description in RNAcentral is "tRNA-Ile". Lineage: Eukaryota; Metazoa; Arthropoda; Insecta; Trichoptera; Hydropsychidae. The record is from RNAcentral.